UCCCUUGCGGUCCAACGGUCAGGACUCUGCACUUUCACUGCAGGGGAUCUGGGUUCUAUCCCUGGCCAGGGCA
Molecule: transfer RNA, 73 nt
Filed under: Bos taurus (domestic cattle)
Lineage: Eukaryota; Metazoa; Chordata; Mammalia; Artiodactyla; Bovidae
Also listed under: 4 other names
Rfam family: tRNA
About the family: Transfer RNA (tRNA) molecules are approximately 80 nucleotides in length. Their secondary structure includes four short double-helical elements and three loops (D, anti-codon, and T loops). Further hydrogen bonds mediate the characteristic L-shaped molecular structure. tRNAs have two regions of fundamental functional importance: the anti-codon, which is responsible for specific mRNA codon recognition, and the 3' end, to which the tRNAs corresponding amino acid is attached (by aminoacyl-tRNA synthetases). tRNAs cope with the degeneracy of the genetic code in two manners: having more than one tRNA (with a specific anti-codon) for a particular amino acid; and 'wobble' base-pairing, i.e. permitting non-standard base-pairing at the 3rd anti-codon position.
Source: Rfam by way of RNAcentral